GUUGUUACAAAAGUUAAAUUUUAAAAUCUUAACCUCAUACUUAUAUAGCUAAACUCUGAAUCCAUACUCCAAAUUUCAAACCAUAUAUAAUAAACAUAACCUUUAAACUUUAAAUUUUAAUAUUUUAGUUCACAUUUAAUCAUAUACUUCAUUCUAAAUCUUAACCCUAAACCAUAAACCAAAUACCUCAUAUUAACAUAUAUCAUAAUACAUUAAAUCUUAAUUUUUAAAUAAAUUAUAUUCAUACAAGAAAAACAUACUACUCCAAACUAACAACAUUUCACAUUAUACAUUUACAAAAUAAAAUUAAACCACCAAAUAAUAAACCAAAAAAUACAAUCUAAUCUUUUCAGUCAAAACCUAAACCAUAUAUAUAUAUAUAUCAUACCCCAACCAAAUACCUCAACAUAUAAUAUUAAUUAAUAAAUUUUUAGAACUAAACCGUAAAAUAUUGAUUAUAAAAUCUUCGUUUUAUUCAAACAUCAAUUUUAAAAAGUUAUAAACCAAAAGUCAUCAAAAUGUUGAAAAUAGAACAACAAAAGAUAAAAACAAAGAGGAAUUCUAUUGGAUAACUAAUAAAUAAAAAGGAAAAUUACAGGCCAAUCCGCUCUCAUCACGCGGAUCACUCUCUGAGCCGUAGGAUACAAAUAGAUCAAUGGAUGAGAUUUUCUUAUUUUCUUUUUUCUUUUUCUUUUUUCUCUAUCUCUCUUUCUCGCUCUUAUCUUCACAGAUCUUUUUUUAGAUCUCUCCACCUUCGACAAAUCUCUUUUAUUUUACAGAUCUCUUUUUCUUAAUCAUCUCAUACACACACAUCACUGUCUUACUCUCCUAACCUCACUCACACACGAUUCAUCUCACAGACAUCUCUCUGUUUCACUCUCAUAAUCUCUCUGUCUCACGCACGACACAUCCCCAACCAUCUUCUUCAGAAAGCGACGGUGGAGGCGCCAAAGCAAUGGUGGAAGCUGCGGCAGACUCGUCUCUGGUCAAGCACUGCGUUGGCUUCACCUCCUCACCACCACCGCAGAUUUAUUAAGGAGCAAGGGAAGGAGAAGCAGUGGUGUGACAUAGCGGCGUUUCCGGAUCAAGCGUGGUGCGUCGGUGAGGUGGUGGUCGUGCGGUGGAGAUGCGAGCAUCAUGGUCGGCGGAGACUGAAGAAGAAUGUAGUUUGGUGGCCGUAUUAGGUUUAGUUAGGGUUAAUUAGUUAACCAAUUUGUAAUUCUAAACCAAUUUGUAAUUGUACCAUUUUGUAAUUGUAAACCAUGUAAACCAAAAUUCAAUUUAUGAAAAUACCAAUUUAUUGUUACAAAAAAACAAUUUAUUAUUUUUCAUUAACUAAACCGAUUUAAUUAUAAAUUAAUCUAUAAUGUGUUUUUAUAAAAAGAAAUUAAAUGUAUAUUCUGGAUAAUUUUUUUAUAAAUAAAUAUAUAUAUAUUCAGUGGCACUGAAAAUGUGUUAUUAAAAAUAAUGUUGCAACAUGACCAAAAUGCCAUAGAAAUCUACGUAAUAGCAAGAAAAAUGUGUUAUAAAAUAUGUUAUUAUAGGAAGAAAUUAACGUUACAACAUCUCUAUUAUUUAUAGCACACGGAAAACGUUACGAUAGAUGGGGGUCUAUUAUAGCUGCGGCUGUCACGGCGUUCUUCGAAACGCUACGAAAACGAUAUGAUAGCGUUUUUCGGGUGCUACUAAUGCCGAUUUUUCUUGUAGUGCAUGGCGGAGGAGAAGUCGAUCAAAAUCAAUGGGAGUGGUGAAGAAGGGGAAAACAUCGUAGAAAAAAAAAAGGAUAUGGAAAGACUUUAUUUUCUUUUUGUCAGAUCUGGAGUGAGUUGAUAUGUUUCGUUAAUGAGAGGAUAGAUAAAUGAAAAAGAGAGAGAACAAAUUGUGGCCUUUAGAUUAUAUUUCAUCAA
Brassica napus (rape) is the source of this 1907-nucleotide long non-coding RNA. RefSeq lists it as uncharacterized. The record is from RefSeq and is a predicted model, not a curated record. NCBI's taxonomy places the organism in Eukaryota, Viridiplantae, Streptophyta, Magnoliopsida, Brassicales, Brassicaceae. The transcript has 2 exons.